RNAcentral lists this transfer RNA (72 nucleotides) under Camelus bactrianus (Bactrian camel). It matches the Rfam family "tRNA". From Rfam's summary of the family: Transfer RNA (tRNA) molecules are approximately 80 nucleotides in length. Their secondary structure includes four short double-helical elements and three loops (D, anti-codon, and T loops). Further hydrogen bonds mediate the characteristic L-shaped molecular structure. tRNAs have two regions of fundamental functional importance: the anti-codon, which is responsible for specific mRNA codon recognition, and the 3' end, to which the tRNAs corresponding amino acid is attached (by aminoacyl-tRNA synthetases). tRNAs cope with the degeneracy of the genetic code in two manners: having more than one tRNA (with a specific anti-codon) for a particular amino acid; and 'wobble' base-pairing, i.e. permitting non-standard base-pairing at the 3rd anti-codon position. The record is from Rfam by way of RNAcentral. RNAcentral also lists the same sequence under 1 other name. Lineage: Eukaryota; Metazoa; Chordata; Mammalia; Artiodactyla; Camelidae.
GGAUAUAUAGCUCAGUGGUAGAGUGCGUGCUUAGCAUGCAUGAGGUCCUGGAUUCAAUUCCCAGUGCCUCCA